AGAGUUUGAUCAUGGCUCAGAUUGAACGCUGGCGGCAUGCCUAACACAUGCAAGUCGAACGGGUUGUACUUCGGUACAGCUAGUGGCGGACGGGUGAGUAACACAUAGGAAUCUGCCCGAGAGUGGGGGAUAACCCAGGGAAACUUGGAUUAAUACCGCAUGAUCUCUACGGAGCAAAGCUGGGGACCUUCGGGCCUGGCGCUUUUGGAGGAGCCUAUGUCUGAUUAGCUUGUUGGUGAGGUAACGGCUCACCAAGGCGACGAUCAGUAACUGGUCUGAGAGGACGACCAGUCACACCGGAACUGAGACACGGUCCGGACUCCUACGGGAGGCAGCAGUGGGGAAUAUUGGACAAUGGGCGAAAGCCUGAUCCAGCAAUGCCGCGUGUGUGAAGAAGGCCUUCGGGUUGUAAAGCACUUUAGGAUGGAAAGAAAAAACUUCAGUUAAUAGCUGAAGCCUUGACGGUACCAUCAGAAUAAGCACCGGCUAACUCUGUGCCAGCAGCCGCGGUAAUACAGAGGGUGCAAGCGUUAAUCGGAUUUACUGGGCGUAAAGCGUGUGUAGGUGGUGGCGUAAGUCGAUUGUGAAAUCCCCGGGCUCAACCUGGGAACUGCUUUCGAUACUGCGUCACUAGAGUACGGUAGAGGGUGGGUGGAAUUUCCGGUGUAGCGGUGAAAUGCGUAGAUAUCGGAAGGAACAUCAAUGGCGAAGGCAACCACCUGGGCCUGUACUGACACUGAGACACGAAAGCGUGGGGAUCAAACAGGAUUAGAUACCCGGGUAGUCCACGCCGUAAACGAUGACAACUUGACGUUGGUUUGCUUAGCGAAUCAGUGUCGUAGCUAACGCGAUAAGUUGUCCGCCUGGGGAGUACGGCCGCAAGGUUGAAACUCAAAGGAAUUGACGG
Molecule: ribosomal RNA, 907 nt
Filed under: uncultured bacterium
Lineage: Bacteria
Description: bacterial SSU rRNA
Rfam family: Bacterial small subunit ribosomal RNA
Source: RNAcentral